Molecule: ribosomal RNA, 253 nt
Filed under: uncultured bacterium
Lineage: Bacteria
Description: partial 16S ribosomal RNA
Rfam family: Bacterial small subunit ribosomal RNA
Source: RNAcentral
UACAGAGGUCUCAAGCGUUGUUCGGAUUCAUUGGGCGUAAAGGGUGCGUAGGCGGCGCGGUAAGUCGGGUGUGAAAUCUCGGAGCUUAACUCCGAAACUGCAUUCGAUACUGCCGUGCUUGAGGACUGGAGAGGAGACUGGAAUUUACGGUGUAGCGGUGAAAUGCGUAGAUAUCAGGAGGAACACCAGAAGCGAAGGCGGCUCACUGGCCCAACACUGACGCUGAGGCGCGAAAGCGUGGGGAGCAAACAGG